CAGUCGCCGCGGGAAUACGAAGGGGGCUAGCGUUGUUCGGAAUUACUGGGCGUAAAGCGCACGUAGGCGGAUAUUUAAGUCAGGGGUGAAAGCCCAGAGCUCAACUCUGGAACUGCCUUUGAUACUGGGUAUCUUGAGUAUGGAAGAGGUGAGUGGAAUUCCGAGUGUAGAGGUGAAAUUCGUAGAUAUUCGGAGGAACACCAGUGGCGAAGGCGGCUCACUGGUCCAUUACUGACGCUGAGGUGCGAAAGCGUGGGGAGCAAACAGGAUUAGAUACCCCAGUAGUCCCUGUCUCUUAUAC
This 301-nucleotide ribosomal RNA is filed under the name uncultured bacterium. Its description in RNAcentral is "partial 16S ribosomal RNA". It matches the Rfam family "Bacterial small subunit ribosomal RNA", at positions 509 to 807 of the family's 1533-position model. The record is from RNAcentral.